CCCCUGGCACUGUGGAUACAGCUUAAGGACCUAUCAAAUGUUUCUUUCUCUUUAUCAAUUAACAAGAACUACCAGAAGCAGUCUGCUUUCGCCUGACAGGGACAACAGUACACCUUUGUCCUCUUCUCUUGGGGCCAUAUCAACUCCGGGAUCUUGGUUAUUUUGAUAUCCUACAGAAUAUCAUGCUGAUUGGACCUGGCAAGCAGGAAAAGUUGCAAACACCCUAGAUGCCUUAGUAAGAUACCUGUGUGUUACAGGAUGGAGCCUGACUGGCUCAUGGAGAAAGCCUACCUAAGAAUGAAGCCGGGACCCGGCAGAUGGCUCCUGUGAAUGGUGGCAAGAAGAAAAAGGGCCAUUCUGCCAUCAAUGAGGUGGUGACCCGAGAAUACACCAUCAACAUUCACAAGUGCAUCCAUGGAGUGGGCUUCAAGAAGCGUGCCCCUUGGGCACUUAAAGAGAUUCGGAAAUUUGCCAUGAAGGAGAUGGGAACUCUAGAUGUGCGCAACUGAUACCAGGCUCAACAAGGCUGUCUGGGCCAAAGGAAUAAGGAAUGUCCCAUGCCGAAUCCAUGUGCAGUUGUCCAGAGAACAUAAUGAGGAUGAAGAUUCACCAAAUAAGCUCUAUACUUUGGUUACCUAUGUACCUGUUACCACUUUCAAAAAUCUACAGAUAGUCAUUGUGGAUGAGAACUAAUCACUGAUUGUCAACUAUAUCAAAUAAAGUUAUAAAACUGCAAAAAAAAAAAAAAAAAAAGAAUGAAGCCAACACCAAGGAAAACAAAGAUGUCUUCAUGUGUAUGACAGAACAAGUAACAGACUAACAGAAGCUGCACACAUGCUCAAGAAAUAGAGAUGCACGCAGAGACCUGACAACGUCCUGUGCACCUAUAUCCAGCCAAAGCAUACAGCAGAUUGACCUCACGAUUUUUCACAUACAUGAACCAACAAAUUCCCUUUUUUGUUUAAGC
Molecule: non-coding RNA, 967 nt
Organism: Nomascus leucogenys (northern white-cheeked gibbon)
Lineage: Eukaryota; Metazoa; Chordata; Mammalia; Primates; Hylobatidae
Source: RefSeq, a predicted model, not a curated record